UUUGAUCCGGGCUUCAGGACGAACCGCGGGCGGCGCGCCCUUAACACAUGCAAGUCGAACGAGCGAGAGAGAGCUUGCUUUCUCGAGCGAGUGGGCGAACGGGUGAGUAACGCGUGAGGAACCUGCCUCAAAGAGGGGGACAACAGUUGGAAACGACUGCUAAUACCGCAUAAGCCCACGGGUCGGCAUCGACCAGAGGGAAAAGGAGCAAUCCGCUUUGAGAUGGCCUCGCGUCCGAUUAGCUAGUUGGUGAGGUAACGGCCCACCAAGGCAACGAUCGGUAGCCGGACUGAGAGGUUGAACGGCCACAUUGGGACUGAGACACGGCCCAGACUCCUACGGGAGGCAGCAGUGGGGAAUAUUGCACAAUGGGGGAAACCCUGAUGCAGCGACGCCGCGUGGAGGAAGAAGGUCUUCGGAUUGUAAACUCCUGUUGUUGAGGAAGAUAAUGACGGUACUCAACAAGGAAGUGACGGCUAACUACGUGCCAGCAGCCGCGGUAAAACGUAGGUCACAAGCGUUGUCCGGAAUUACUGGGUGUAAAGGGAGCGCAGGCGGGAAGACAAGUUGGAAGUGAAAUCCAUGGGCUCAACCCAUGAACUGCUUUCAAAACUGUUUUUCUUGAGUAGUGCAGAGGUAGGCGGAAUUCCCGGUGUAGCGGUGGAAUGCGUAGAUAUCGGGAGGAACACCAGUGGCGAAGGCGGCCUACUGGGCACCAACUGACGCUGAGGCUCGAAAGUGUGGGUAGCAAACAGGAUUAGAUACCCUGGUAGUCCACACCGUAAACGAUGAUUACUAGGUGUUGGAGGAUUGCCCCCUUCAGUGCCGCAGUUAACACAGUAAGUAAUCCACCUGGGGAGUACGACCGCAAGGUUGAAACUCAAAGGAAUUGACGGGGGCCCGCACAAGCAGUGGAGUAUGUGGUUUAAUUCGACGCAACGCGAAGAACCUUACCAAGUCUUGACAUCCCUUGACGAACAUAGAAAUAUGUUUUCUCUUCGGAGCAAGGAGACAGGUGGUGCAUGGUUGUCGUCAGCUCGUGUCGUGAGAUGUUGGGUUAAGUCCCGCAACGAGCGCAACCCUUACUGUCAGUUACUACGCAAGAGGACUCUGGCAGGACUGCCGUUGACAAAACGGAGGAAGGUGGGGAUGACGUCAAAUCAUCAUGCCCUUUAUGACUUGGGCUACACACGUACUACAAUGGCGUUAAACAAAGAGAAGCAAGACCGCGAGGUGGAGCAAAACUCAGAAACAACGUCCCAGUUCGGACUGCAGGCUGCAACUCGCCUGCACGAAGUCGGAAUUGCUAGUAAUCGUGGAUCAGCAUGCCACGGUGAAUACGUUCCCGGGCCUUGCACACACCGCCCGUCAA
RNAcentral lists this ribosomal RNA (1372 nucleotides) under uncultured bacterium. Its description in RNAcentral is "bacterial SSU rRNA". It matches the Rfam family "Bacterial small subunit ribosomal RNA". The record is from RNAcentral.